Molecule: ribosomal RNA, 429 nt
Filed under: Bacteroidota bacterium
Lineage: Bacteria; Pseudomonadati; Bacteroidota
Description: Bacteroidetes bacterium partial 16S ribosomal RNA
Rfam family: Bacterial small subunit ribosomal RNA
Source: RNAcentral
UAGGGAAUCUUCGGCAAUGGGGGGAACCCUGACCGAGCAACGCCGCGUGAGUGAAGAAGGUUUUCGGAUCGUAAAGCUCUGUUGUUAAGGAAGAACGAGUGUGAGAAUGGAAAGUUCAUACUGUGACGGUACUUAACCAGAAAGGGACGGCUAACUACGUGCCAGCAGCCGCGGUAAUACGUAGGUCCCGAGCGUUGUCCGGAUUUAUUGGGCGUAAAGCGAGCGCAGGCGGUUAGAUAAGUCUGAAGUUAAAGGCAGUGGCUCAACCAUUGUAGGCUUUAGAAACUGGUUAACUUGAGUGCAGAAGGGGAGAGUGGAUUUCCAUGUGUAGCGGUGACAUGCGAAGAUAUAUGGAGGAACACCGAUGGCGAAAGCGGCUCUCUGGUCUGUAACUGACGCUGAGGCUCGAAAGCGUGGGGAGCGAACAGG